This 464-nucleotide ribosomal RNA is filed under the name uncultured bacterium. RNAcentral describes it as "bacterial SSU rRNA". It matches the Rfam family "Bacterial small subunit ribosomal RNA", at positions 33 to 507 of the family's 1533-position model. The record is from RNAcentral.
GACGACGCUGGCGGCGCGCCUAACACAUGCAAGUCGAACGGAGCUGAGAGAAGCUUGCUUUUCUUAGCUUAGUGGCGAACGGGUGAGUAACGCGUGAGUAACCUGCCCUGGAUGGGGGACAACAGUUGGAAACGGCUGCUAAUACCGCAUAAGCGCACAGUGCCGCAUGGCACGGUGUGAAAAACUCCGGUGGUAUAAGAUGGACCCGCGUCUGAUUAGCUUGUUGGUGAGGUAACGGCCCACCAAGGCGACGAUCAGUAGCCGGCCUGAGAGGGUGAACGGCCACAUUGGGACUGAGACACGGCCCAAACUCCUACGGGAGGCAGCAGUGGGGAAUAUUGCACAAUGGGGGAAACCCUGAUGCAGCGACGCCGCGUGAGUGAUGAAGUAUUUCGGUAUGUAAAACUCUAUCAGCAGGGAAGAUAAUGACGGUACCUGACUAAGAAGCACCGGCUAAAUACGUG